AGGUGGGGCUGAUGACUGGGGUGAAGUCGUAACAAGGUAUCCGUACCGGAAGGUGCGGAUGGAUCACCUCCUAACAGGGAGACAACACAAUGAUUUUGAUGCCUGAGUAUUUUUAUUCUUAGGCCGAAAUCCUGUCACCUUAGGUCGAUCGGUACCUCAGCUUUGAAGUUAAGAAUCAGCAGCAAUGUUGAUUGCUUGAUGGAGAUUUUCAGUUCCUAAACUUUGUCUAGGUCACACCCCAAAAGGGAUGAGACUCCUGGGCCAUUAGCUCAGGUGGUUAGAGCGCACCCCUGAUAAGGGUGAGGUCCCUGGUUCAAGUCCAGGAUGGCCCAUUCGGUGUUGGGGGUUUAGCUCAGUUGGUAGAGCGCCUGCUUUGCAAGCAGGAUGUCAGGAGUUCGAGUCUCCUAACCUCCACUGACCGAACUUUAUCCCCCCUCCAUUCAAUGGAGUUGAGCUCGAUUGGUGUGUGAUUUAGAUGUGUCCGCUGGAUGACCCCAGCUUCCUGUCAUUCCAAGUUUUAAGUUCAAAGCUUUGAAUUUGGUUGAUAAGAUGCUGGGCUCGGAUCAAAUGAUCAAGUAAUUGAUGAUUUGAUUUGAAGUUCUAGCAGAACCUUGACAACUGCAUAGGUGAAGUCUGGAAAAACAAAGCAUCUUACAGAUGCAUUGUUUUGAGUCUAAUUUUCUGAAAGGAAGAUUAGACCCAGAACAAUGAAAAUUCUUUUGAGCAAGAGCCGAGACUCUUGAAUGUUCUUUGAUUCGUGUCGAGCGAAUCAGAGUUUGAUCUUGUUUUUAGCAAUAAAAACUUGAGAAUCUGCUUUCAACGGCGGUAAGCGUUCAAGAGGUUAAUUGGUCAAGCUACAAAGGGCUCA
RNAcentral lists this unclassified non-coding RNA (868 nucleotides) under uncultured Synechococcus sp. Its description in RNAcentral is "partial may contain 16S ribosomal RNA, 16S-23S ribosomal RNA intergenic spacer, and 23S ribosomal RNA". The stretch from base 342 to 414 matches the Rfam family "tRNA". Lineage: Bacteria; Bacillati; Cyanobacteriota; Cyanophyceae; Synechococcales; Synechococcaceae. The record is from RNAcentral.